GAUGAAGAACGUAGCGAAAUGCGAUAAGUAAUGCGAAUUGCAGAAUUUCCGUGAGUCAUCGAAUCUUUGAACGCACAUUGCGCCCACUGGUAUUCCGGUGGGCAUGCCUGUUCGAGCGUCAUUAUCCUCCCUCAAAACUCCUGUUUUGGUGUUGGGCCGCGUUGGCCACCUCCGACCAACGGGCCUCAAAGACAAUGACGGCGUCCGUGGGACCCUCUUCGCAGUGAGCUUUUGUUAGCGCGCGUUGAGUUUAAAGGACCUUCCGGGCCGGCCACCUUUAUCUAUUUUACAAGGUUGACCUCGGAUCAGGUAGGAAUACCCGCUGAACUUAAGCAUAUCAAUAAGCGGAGGA
RNAcentral lists this unclassified non-coding RNA (352 nucleotides) under soil metagenome. Its description in RNAcentral is "partial contains 5.8S ribosomal RNA, internal transcribed spacer 2, and large subunit ribosomal RNA". The stretch from base 1 to 121 matches the Rfam family "5.8S ribosomal RNA", at positions 35 to 154 of the family's 154-position model. The record is from RNAcentral.